RNAcentral lists this ribosomal RNA (253 nucleotides) under uncultured bacterium. RNAcentral describes it as "partial 16S ribosomal RNA". It matches the Rfam family "Bacterial small subunit ribosomal RNA", at positions 524 to 776 of the family's 1533-position model. The record is from RNAcentral.
UACGUAGGGUGCGAGCGUUGUCCGGAAUUAUUGGGCGUAAAGGGCUCGUAGGCGGUUUGUCGCGUCGGGCGUGAAAACCUUGGGCUUAACUCAGGGCUUGCUUUCGAUACGGGCAGACUAGAGGUAUGCAGGGGAGAACGGAAUUCCCGGUGUAGAGGUGAAAUUCGUAGAUAUCGGGAGGAACACCGGUGGCGAAGGCGGCGACCUGGGUAGAUACUGACGCUGAGGUGCGAAAGCGUGGGGAGCAAACAGG